AGAGUUUGAUCCUGGCUCAGGAUAAACGCUGGCGGCGUGCCUAAUACAUGCAAGUCGAACGAGGGGCUUUUGUAGCAAUACGGAGGCUUCCUAGUGGCGAAUGGGUGAGUAACGCGUUGGUGACCUGCCCCGAAGUAAGGAAUAACAGUUCGAAAGGACUGCUAAUACCUCAUGUGGUCAUUGGGUUUAGAAACUAAUGUCUAAAGCAGUAAUGCGCUUCGGGAGGGACCUGCGUCCCAUCAGCUAGUUGGUAGGGUAAUGGCCUACCAAGGCUACGACGGGUAGGGGGCCUGAGAGGGUGGCCCCCCACACUGGCACUGAAACACGGGCCAGACACCUACGGGUGGCAGCAGUAGGGAAUAUUGCACAAUGGGCGAAAGCCUGAUGCAGCAACGCCGCGUGCGCGAUGAAGGCCUCCGCGUCGUAAAGCGCUUUUGGAGGAGAUGAGGAAGGACAGUAUCCUCAGAAUAAGGAUCUGCUAGCUACGUGCCAGCAGCCGCGGUAACACGUAGGAUCCAAGCGUUAUCCGAAUUUACUGGGCGUAAAGCGCGUGUAGGCGGUUUGGCAAGUCGGAUGUGAAAGCUCCUGGCUCAACUGGGAGAGGCCGUUCGAAACUACCAGACUAGAGGGCGACAGAGGGAGGCGGAAUUCCCGGUGUAGUGGUGAAAUGCGUAGAUAUCGGGAGGAACACCUGUGGCGAAAGCGGCCUCCUGGGUCGUUCCUGACGCUCAGACGCGAAAGCUAGGGGAGCGAACGGGAUUAGAAACCCCGGUAGUCCUAGCCGUAAACGAUGUAGACUUGGCGUCGGUGGGGUAAAAGCCAUCGGUGCCGAAGCUAACGCGUUAAGUCUACCGCCUGGGGACUACGGCCGCAAGGUUAAAACUCAAAGGAAUUGACGGGGGCCCGCACAAGCAGCGGAGCGUGUGGUUUAAUUCGUUUCUACGCGAAGAACCUUACCCGGGUUUGACAUACAGGUAGUAGGGAACAGAGAUGUGACCGACCCUUCGGGGAGCCUGUACAGGUGCUGCAUGGCUGUCGUCAGCUCGUGUCGUGAGAUGUCCGGUUAAGUCCGGUAACGAGCGCAACCCUCGCUGCGUGUUACAUGCGUCACGCGGGACUGCCGGUAUCAAGCCGGAGGAAGGUGGGGACGACGUCAAGUCAGCAUGGCCUUUAUAUCCGGGGCUACACACACGCUACAAUGAUCGGUACAAUGGGUUGCAAAGCCGCGAGGUGGAGCCAAUCCCCAAAGCCGAUCUCAGUUCAGAUCGUAGGCUGCAACUCGCCUGCGUGAAGUCGGAGUUGCUAGUAACCGCGCGUCAGCAUUAGUGCGGUGGAUGCGUUCCCGGGCCUUGUACACACCCCGUCACGUCAUGGGAGCUGGUAAUACCUGAAGCCGGUAUCCUAACCCGUUAAGGGAGGGAGCUGUCGAAGGUGGGACUGGUGACUGGGACGAAGUCGUAACAAGGUA
RNAcentral lists this ribosomal RNA (1468 nucleotides) under metagenome. RNAcentral describes it as "bacterial SSU rRNA". It matches the Rfam family "Bacterial small subunit ribosomal RNA". The record is from RNAcentral.